ACGAAAUGUCUACAUAUCCGAAUAAAAAGAAUGACCGUUGGGAGUUCGAAUAUUUCGAAAUAAAGGACAAGUUUAAAGCAGUAUGUAAAUUGUGUUUGCCAAACAGACGAAACAUAAUUUAUAUUAAUACAUCUACCCUAACUCAACAUUAAAAAAAAAAGCAUUCUAAUAUGAUAGUGAAGCAAGAACAUUGGAUAUGGGAACAUUUCGAAAAAAUUAACGAUUCAAAGGCUAAAUGCAAAAUACCGGAAUGCCACCGGCGCAUGUCGAUAAACCGGAGCUAUUUUUCUCUACAAUAUCAUUUAUUAAACCGACAUAAUAUAAAGGAAUCAGACGAUAAUUUACAUGACUCGACGUGGAACUAUGUUACACAGCAUAAUAAUUUUAGUGUGAAAUGUGCGCUAUGUAAGAAACGAAAAGGAAAGAAUAUGAUACAGUUUAGUUUAUCAACAAGCAUGUCAAGACAUCUUGAUAAAAUACAUGGAAAGACUUCUGCAACAGUACAAGAACUAAACGAUAUAUCUAAACCAUGACAAGUACACAAAAGUAAGAAAGAAAAAUGAAUAGACUUUGACAACGGAUCUGCAAGUAGCCAGCCAGCAAUAACAACAGUUUUGACUUCAACGAUUAGUGACUUAAACAAUUCGAAAUCUCUGAAAAAAUCCUAUGGUGGAAAAAUGUUGAACUGAUUAAUGAUUUUCAUGUGUGAUGCAAGAAGAGUUCUAACACUAUGAUUCUAAAGCUUACCUUCUCAAACUACAUAAAAAGACACGUGAAGAAACAGUAUAGACUUGGGCAACAGACUUGGGCAACAAUAUUUAUCCAGAACAGAUUAUGACAACGUUCUACGUUCAAGUAGCACAGCCAGCAAUAACAAUAAUUUUGAUUUUGAUAACUUAAAUGAUUUGGAAUAACUGAAAACAAUUCGUAUUUCGAAAAAAUCGUAUUAAUGUCUAAUUAUUUUAAUCGUAAACAUUUGUAUCAAUUUGGGGAUUAAUACUGUAUCAAUUAUAAUAUAGUGCAUAACUGAUA
Molecule: non-coding RNA, 1032 nt
Organism: Linepithema humile (Argentine ant)
Lineage: Eukaryota; Metazoa; Arthropoda; Insecta; Hymenoptera; Formicidae
Source: RefSeq, a predicted model, not a curated record